Long non-coding RNA from Poecile atricapillus (Black-capped chickadee), 2209 nucleotides. RefSeq lists it as uncharacterized. Lineage: Eukaryota; Metazoa; Chordata; Aves; Passeriformes; Paridae. The transcript has 3 exons. The record is from RefSeq and is a predicted model, not a curated record.
UUCACGAACGCUGCUACGCCAGGGGCUGCCGGCGCCGCCGCGCAGGGCGUCGGGGUCUGCGCAAGUGGCGCAGCCGCUUCAUGGCGGCUGCUCGGCCGCCGUGUCCCUGCACCGUUCGCUGCCGAGCUGCAGCUCUCGCAGAGCUCCAGAGCCAGGAGCCUGCCGUGGGAGCUGCAGACACGUUCACAGAAGGCGUGCCAUCGUGUCCCAAGGGUUAUGUAAGGCCUAAAGGGGGCUGUCAUACAGGAGUUUUUCUGUUGCAUCUCUGGGAUGAAGCUUCUUCAAGGAUUGAAUGCUGAAGGAUUCAGCAGGAUAUAUGGUGUUCCAUAGCUCACACUGACUUUGGCAGGUGGGAACCAAAGAAGUUUCUGUGCUUGGCUGCUCAUAGCAUCCCUUCAGAUGUGCCACACUCUGUCAGCCUCAGAGACCUGCUGCAUGAAUACAAUUGAUGAAGGCAGUGAACCGUAAUGCAGAGGACAAAAAAAAUUGUGAAAUGCCUUCUAUUUCAUGCAUCUCACCUUCUCCUUAAAUUCCUUCUCUUCUUGUCAUGGGAGACACCAUUAUUCAUAUCUGAGAAUGUAGCGGCCCAAUUGUUUGUUUGACUUUUUGGGAAAAAAUUUACCUAAAGAAUCUUUUUUUCAGUCUAUCCCCUUGACUUUGCCAAUAAGAAAACCCCACAGCUCCUGUCCCCCCAACAAACAAGUCCUACCAACCAACCAAAAUAACAAACAAAACAACCAAAAAACCAAAAAGGAAUUUUAUGUCUAGCAGUUGCAGUGCCACCUUGCAUCCAUCAGUCCCCUUUGUGAUUUGUCCAAAUUCUACCUCCCCUUUGUAUUUUCCCCCUCUCUCUCCUCCGCUUGCACUGGACACCAGUGAUGCUUUAAUUCAAAUCAGGUAGUUUCCAAUUGGCAUAGUGGUGGUUCUGGAUUUUUUCCUGCGAGUCUGAACUUGCAGAAUUGAUGCAUAAUUCCAGCCCGAGUGCACUGCCACCGGUUAUUUUGAGAAGGGAUGUCUAUCAAGUGUCUUGAGGAACCCUCUGCGUUGCAGGCUGUGUGGCACAGGAGUAGGAGUUGCUGCUCAGAUGCAUUAUCUGACUGAGAGGAAGAGAGAUGCCCCUUGCUGCACAUAUGGGAGAGCUCAGAAGCCGGGCAGGCUCCUAUGGAAAGAGCCCAUGAGAUGUGGGAAAGGAGCUUUCAGAGCUGGGAGCUUUCCCUUACUGUUGCCGAGCUGGAAUCACCACGACUUACCCAGUGUAAUAGGUUGCCUUGCAGUGAUUCCAAGGCUGAUUCCUGCUGGGUGGGGGUUCCAGACAGUGCUGGUGACAGGGUGGCUGGGGCUGUGUGGCACUGCAGCACCCCAGUGCAUCCUGCAUCUCAUCCCAUGCUGGCCAGGGGGCUGGCUGGGCUGCCUUUAUUCAGAGUGCCCCAUUAAAGCAGCAUGGACAUGCAGAUAAUGUGAGCCAAAGCACCCGUGUAGAGAAUUACUGCAGAGUAAGUAAUGCACUGGCAAUUCACACCCUAGUUUAUUCCAUGUUAAUUUCUCCAACAUAAUCACCUCCUGCACCUUCUAAUUUCCCCAACAGUUUUUCAGCCUGUGCCUUUAUUCGCAGCCUUAUUUUUCUCCAAAGCCAUCGUGACCCACCCGAUGAAUGAAGUAGCUGGCACACACAUUUAACUGAAUGCGAAAUGUACUCAUUCAGUUUUACCUGUGAUAGAAGCCUGUCUCAAGGAGAGCUGUACUGUAGAAAAAAAAAGCCUGGGGAAAAAAGAAAAGCAAAACCCAAAUCCAAACUGAAAAAUACACCUCUAUUUUUCAUUUAAACAUUUCUUUUGGCACUUCUACUGAAGCAGAAUGUUCUUAACAGCAAACCCAUUCAUACUGUGCAGAUUGACUUUUAGAGGAAUUGUUUGCAUUGUCUCUUGGAAAAAUGCACUAAUAAUACAUUGGAUAUGUGCUUGAAUUGUACAAUAUGGCGUGGAUGGUGUCAAAGCAUUGCAGAAGGCUUUGUGCUUGUUCUCUACAGGAUUUUAAUUUGCAGAGUAUUGCUAUUAAACUUCUGUAUCUGUAGAGGUGACUUUGAGUGACACUGAUUUAACAAUACUCACUGAGGCAAGAUCAUUCCAACCCUUCUAGACAGUGGUGCACUUUAAGCCACCUGGGAGGUCCCUUCUCUUUCCCCUUCCUUUGGAAAAUCCUUUGCAGUAGA